Molecule: ribosomal RNA, 253 nt
Filed under: uncultured bacterium
Lineage: Bacteria
Description: partial 16S ribosomal RNA
Rfam family: Bacterial small subunit ribosomal RNA
Source: RNAcentral
UACGGGGGGGGCGAGCGUUGUUCGGAAUUACUGGGCGUAAAGGGUUUGUAGGUGGUCUGCUAAGUCAGACGUGAAAUCCCUCAGCUUAACUGGGGAACUGCGUCUGAUACUGGCGGACUUGAGGACAGGAGAGGGACGCGGAAUUCCAGGUGUAGCGGUGAAAUGCGUAGAUAUCUGGAGGAACACCGGUGGCGAAGGCGGCAUCCUGGACCGGCAUUGACGCUGAGGCGCGAAAGCCAGGGGAGCAAACGGG